Molecule: long non-coding RNA, 474 nt
Filed under: Mytilus galloprovincialis (Mediterranean mussel)
Lineage: Eukaryota; Metazoa; Mollusca; Bivalvia; Mytilida; Mytilidae
Source: RNAcentral
AAAGACUUGAAAAUCAUUUGUUUUUAUGAAAUUUGGACAUAUAUGGAGGUUUUUUUCAUACAAAUUAUACUUUAAUAUUUAUAAAUAUACAAAGAAAGAAUUCAGCAUUGAUAUAUUAUUUCAGGAAUAUGAAGGAGAGGAUAUUUGUACUCUCUGUGCAACUCUGAAGAAUUUAGCUACAGAUUCACACAAAUACAGAGCAAAGAAAGACAGAAAAAUGCAGCGUUCAAGCUUUAGAGAUGUGUUGCGAGCUGUUGAGGUAUGCAGUUGUUUAUAAUAUAAAAAGAAGAUGUGGUAUGAUUGCCAAUGAGAAAACUCUUCACAAGAGACCAAAAUGACACAGAAAUUAACAACUAUAGGUCAUCGUGCAGCCUUCAACAAUGAGCAAAGCCAAUACAGCAUAGUCAGCUAUAAAAGGCCCUGAAAUGACAAUGUAAAACAAAUCAAACGAGAAAACUAACGGCCUUACUUAUG